This is a long non-coding RNA of Orcinus orca (killer whale), 3739 nucleotides long. RefSeq lists it as uncharacterized. The record is from RefSeq and is a predicted model, not a curated record. The transcript is spliced from 2 exons. Lineage: Eukaryota; Metazoa; Chordata; Mammalia; Artiodactyla; Delphinidae.
CGCCCCGUUCCGCCCCGCCCACUUCCUGCGCUCCGCCGCGCCGGGUGCCGGUUGGGCUCAAUAGACACGAGACGGCUGGUGCUGGAGUUGCGAGAGAGGACGCCGGGCUACGAGCGGAACUAGUUUUCGCAGAGUUGGAGUCUAGUCGUAUCUAAAUUCAGCAGGAAAUGGGAGCGCCGCGGUUUGGGGGAGGAGUCCGAGGCUAAUACGAAAUUUCGUGAGACCUUUGAACGGUUUUGGCGUCCGAGGUGAAGAGCGGAAGUGAAUAGAGGGUUUCUGGAGACGAGCUAAACUCAAGGUGACAAGGGAAAGAGGACGUGGGGCAGUGGGGCCGGGGUGUCAUGAAGAUUAAAUGGAUUCAUUCAUGUAAAGUGUCUGGCAGAAUUGUAAGCACUUGAUAAGUAUUACCUGUUAUUUUGACUGUUAUUAUUUAUACAUUGUCCUAGUAAAAUAUCUUGCAAAUGGUAAGUGCUCGACAAAUGCCUGAACCAUUGUUAAGAGUCCAGACAAGGAAAGCGUGACCUAUAUGUAAACCAAGAAUAGAAUGGACCAUAUGGAGAGAGAAAAAUGAGGUGAAGGAAGAGCAGGAUGACUGUAUUUACAAUAAAAUAAUUGUUUCUUUGGUGGAUAAUUUUACUGUAGUUAUUGCAAAUUGAUAGUUAUAUUAGAAGUAAAAGUAAGAAGAAACGAAUGGGUAUUUAUUCAGAUUGUCUCGAUUAUAAGGGUAGAUUUGAUUUUUCAAAAUUCAGUUGUCUGUUACUGGUCAUUGUGAAUUAGAGGGCAGAAAUCCAGAAAUCCCAGCCUAAACUUUCUAGAGUUUUGUCAUUAUCCAUAAAGACAUUAACUACAGCAGAAAAUUAGAUUCCAGUACUCUUUAUGGCUGUAGCAUCUUUUUUCCCCUGGGCCUACAUACCCUCACAUGCUCUAUAUCUGCUCUUAUAUUUCAUUUUCCCUGUCAACUCUCCUGCCAUUACCUCCCUUCCCAGCCUAGACUGCAUGGCUUAUCAACAUCCAAACUCCCUGCAUCCCUUGCCUCUGACCCCAGUGCCUGUCAAAAUCCUAACCCUGAAUCUGUCCCAUAAAUCCCCGCCCUGAAUCUGUCCCAUAAAUCCCCGCCCUGAAUCUGUCCCAUAAAUCCCCAGCUGGGCACUCUGGAGAAAAUCACGCAAAGUGAUAUACAACAGGUUCUUGGUCUGCAGCUUCAGCGCACCCCCAAUUCUUGACACUCCUUUAUCAUUUGUCAGUUCCCUGUCUUAUAACUUGCAGUGAUUUCUCAUAACUACCUGCGUCCUCAGUUUCACCUUCUCUUUUUAUUCGAAGGUGACUAGAGUAGUGUAAAAGAUAUUUUUCAAGCACUUAACACACAUUCACAUGCAUCUGUGACCUUUAUGCCAGUUUCUUUUCUAAUUUUAAUUCCAUGUUCCUUUUCUAGAUUGCACUUUAGAUCCUGGAUGACAGACCUGUAAGGACUGAGCAGACCUUUGACUGACAAGAUGGGAUGCUCAGUGAGACCAUGGCAGCCUGCAACUAGGACUUUAUCUUUAAUUCAGGUGGCGGUCCUGUGGUAGCUAGUGCUUUGGGUUAAAAUUUUUUAAAUCUCUUUUUUAAGUGACAAGAAUUCCAGAUUGUUGUUUCUGCUUUGUUUUAAGUGGGUCAGUGAGGAUGAACAGUUGAUUCACUUGGUCUAGUGUGGUAGGAAUAGAUAAAAUACUCAGACUGGGUCCUACACCCUCCUUGCCAUCAAGAACCCACUUAUUUGAAUAUAGAGAUUUCCCAGGGGCCACAGACAUUUCCAGCAACCUCGUUCCCGGUUAACUGAGAAAAUUCAAGCCAUCAUGCAGCAUAUUCCUUAACUUCCUGCCCACCCAUUUCCCUUACCACCACAUUUAUCUGCCUCUCUCUUAUUGAUCUCAGAAGAUGAAUAGUGCCUACUUCUCCUGUGCUAUUGAUCAGUGCCUCUUUCUAGACCUCUCCGCUACAUUUGACACCAUUAAUCAGACCCUCCUCGAAACCUAAGUCCCUUUGCUUCUCUCCUGUAUCUUCUGCCUAUCUCGUGCUUCUUAGGGGGCUCUUUCUCUGCCUGCCCUUUAUGCAGUAUAAGUUUCAACUUUGAGUUUUCUUUUUUUUUUUUUUGCAUAAAUCUUCUCCUUCAGAGUACCAUCCAUUCUCAUUGUUUUAAUCUAUUUGCUCAAGGAUCCAAAAACUACUGCUAUCUCUGACUUCCUCCUUGAGAUUCAGAUUUUUAUUUUCUUUCCUACUAGCUAGAUGCAUUUGGGAGGGCUCGUGAGCCAUUCAAAUCCUAAUUUAUCCCUUUCUUUUUUUCAACUGCCCAAUCUAUCUCACUGUUGUCUCCAGCCUUACAACCCUUACCUGCAUCCCCCACUUUGUCUUCUAAGUAGCUGCUGUAAUGAUCAGUCUUAAAUGUAAAUCUGACUAUUUCACUGGUCUGGUUAAACUUCUACAACCCCUCCCACCAUCACCUCCAAGACAAAGUCCAACUCCAUAGCCUGCACCCUGGGACCUCCAUGAUCUUGCCACUGUUUAUGUUUCCACUGUCAUCUCCCAUCACACCCAUUUCCCAUUCAUGAGGCUGUUUUAUACUUUGAGACCUUUUCUUAUUCUUGUUGACUCUGUCUGGACUGUCUUGAUUUUCUUUGCCUGAUCCCUACUUUCUUUACUUACUUUUCAGAUGUCUUCUAAGAAGCCUUUCCCUAAUCCACAGUCUGAACUAGUUGACUUUCCUUCUGACUUUCUAGGUAUAGAUUUAUUCAUUCAAAAAUAUUUAUUGAUCCUCUUAUUUUAUGCCAGACACUAAGCUAGGUACUGGAAGUAUAAUAAUGAACAAGCAAAUGUGAUAAUAAUCAAUCUAAUAAUUGACCUAAUAGAUCUUAUAUUCUCAUAGGGAAGGGAGAAAAGUAAUUAAAAAAAAAAUUGUGGUUUAGUCUGAGUGGCUCCAUGCAGGAGAAUAGCUAGGAAUUGGCCAGGUUAAAGGGUGGAGGGCAAGAAAGAGGUAACAACUGUGAAGGCCCAGACAUAAGAGGAGAGCACAGCCUAGGAACAGAGAUUCUAGACACAGGGCUGGGGAGGUAAAGAGGCACCAGAUCAUGAAGAGUAUUACUAGUCAUGUUAAGGCGUUUGGACUUCUUAAAAGUAAUAGGAAGUUUGAAGGGCUUCAACAAGAUUAGGUUUGUAUUUAGGUGAUGACUGGCUGCUAUGAGAAAAUAGAAUUGAAGAGUGGCAAGACUGAAGGAAGGAAAACCAGUUACGACCUCAUUGUAGUAAUCCAGGGGAAAGAAGACGGCAGCCUAUACUAGGGUAUUGCCAGCAUGCAUGGAAUUCAGGAAGUAGAAGUGGCAGGACUUGGUGACUGAAUUGGGAGGGCAGAGGUGAGAGAAAUCAAGGAUAGAGUUCCAUAAACAAGUUUUAGUGAGGACCCUAUUUGCUAUCAUAUGUUCAUGGCCUAGACGUCGUUAGACAUUGUAGAUGCUUGAUAAAUAUCUGCUGAGUGAGAGUUUUCUGGCUUGAGCCCCUAGAUAAAUGGGAUGCUAUUCUCUGAUUUAGGAAAUAUAGAGGUGAACUCAUUUUGGGAGGUGACUGAUGGUUGAGUUUUGGACAUGUAUAGCUCAAGAUGCCUGUGGGAGAUACAUAUGAAAAUGAUAGAUACAAUGCGAUUGGGAGAGAUCUCACGUGUAUUCUUUGUGUACUGAAAAAAAUAAAAGUUUAUACUUUAUUGAAAUGA